This 2902-nucleotide ribosomal RNA is filed under the name Klebsiella quasipneumoniae. Its description in RNAcentral is "23S ribosomal RNA". It matches the Rfam family "Bacterial large subunit ribosomal RNA". The record is from RNAcentral. Lineage: Bacteria; Pseudomonadati; Pseudomonadota; Gammaproteobacteria; Enterobacterales; Enterobacteriaceae.
GGUUAAGCGACUAAGCGUACACGGUGGAUGCCCUGGCAGUCAGAGGCGAUGAAGGACGUGCUAAUCUGCGAAAAGCGUCGGUAAGGUGAUAUGAACCGUUAUAACCGGCGAUGUCCGAAUGGGGAAACCCAGUGCAAUUCGUUGCACUAUCGUUAACUGAAUACAUAGGUUAACGAGGCGAACCGGGGGAACUGAAACAUCUAAGUACCCCGAGGAAAAGAAAUCAACCGAGAUUCCCCCAGUAGCGGCGAGCGAACGGGGAGCAGCCCAGAGUCUGAAUCAGCUUGUGUGUUAGUGGAACGGUCUGGAAAGUCCGACGGUACAGGGUGAUAGUCCCGUACACCAAAAUGCACAGGUUGUGAACUCGAAGAGUAGGGCGGGACACGUGGUAUCCUGUCUGAAUAUGGGGGGACCAUCCUCCAAGGCUAAAUACUCCUGACUGACCGAUAGUGAACCAGUACCGUGAGGGAAAGGCGAAAAGAACCCCGGCGAGGGGAGUGAAAAAGAACCUGAAACCGUGUACGUACAAGCAGUGGGAGCACCUUCGGGUGUGACUGCGUACCUUUUGUAUAAUGGGUCAGCGACUUAUAUUCUGUAGCAAGGUUAACCGUAUAGGGGAGCCGCAGGGAAACCGAGUCUUAACUGGGCGUUAAGUUGCAGGGUAUAGACCCGAAACCCGGUGAUCUAGCCAUGGGCAGGUUGAAGGUUGGGUAACACUAACUGGAGGACCGAACCGACUAAUGUUGAAAAAUUAGCGGAUGACUUGUGGCUGGGGGUGAAAGGCCAAUCAAACCGGGAGAUAGCUGGUUCUCCCCGAAAGCUAUUUAGGUAGCGCCUCGUGAAUUCAUCUUCGGGGGUAGAGCACUGUUUCGGCUAGGGGUCAUCCCGACUUACCAACCCGAUGCAAACUACGAAUACCGAAGAAUGUUAUCACGGGAGACACACGGCGGGUGCUAACGUCCGUCGUGAAGAGGGAAACAACCCAGACCGCCAGCUAAGGUCCCAAAGUCAUGGUUAAGUGGGAAACGAUGUGGGAAGGCACAGACAGCCAGGAUGUUGGCUUAGAAGCAGCCAUCAUUUAAAGAAAGCGUAAUAGCUCACUGGUCGAGUCGGCCUGCGCGGAAGAUGUAACGGGGCUAAACCAUGCACCGAAGCUGCGGCAGCGACGCUUAUGCGUUGUUGGGUAGGGGAGCGUUCUGUAAGCCUGCGAAGGUGACCUGUGAGGGUUGCUGGAGGUAUCAGAAGUGCGAAUGCUGACAUAAGUAACGAUAAAGCGGGUGAAAAGCCCGCUCGCCGGAAGACCAAGGGUUCCUGUCCAACGUUAAUCGGGGCAGGGUGAGUCGACCCCUAAGGCGAGGCCGAAAGGCGUAGUCGAUGGGAAACAGGUUAAUAUUCCUGUACUUGGUGUUACUGCGAAGGGGGGACGGAGAAGGCUAUGUUAGCCGGGCGACGGUUGUCCCGGUUUAAGCAUGUAGGCUGGUUAUCCAGGCAAAUCCGGAUAAUCAAGGCUGAGGUGUGAUGACGAGGCACUACGGUGCUGAAGUAACAAAUGCCCUGCUUCCAGGAAAAGCCUCUAAGCAUCAGGUAACACGAAAUCGUACCCCAAACCGACACAGGUGGUCAGGUAGAGAAUACCAAGGCGCUUGAGAGAACUCGGGUGAAGGAACUAGGCAAAAUGGUGCCGUAACUUCGGGAGAAGGCACGCUGGUGUGUAGGUGAAGUCCCUGCGGAUGGAGCUGAGACCAGUCGAAGAUACCAGCUGGCUGCAACUGUUUAUUAAAAACACAGCACUGUGCAAACACGAAAGUGGACGUAUACGGUGUGACGCCUGCCCGGUGCCGGAAGGUUAAUUGAUGGGGUUAUCCGUAAGGAGAAGCUCUUGAUCGAAGCCCCGGUAAACGGCGGCCGUAACUAUAACGGUCCUAAGGUAGCGAAAUUCCUUGUCGGGUAAGUUCCGACCUGCACGAAUGGCGUAAUGAUGGCCAGGCUGUCUCCACCCGAGACUCAGUGAAAUUGAACUCGCUGUGAAGAUGCAGUGUACCCGCGGCAAGACGGAAAGACCCCGUGAACCUUUACUAUAGCUUGACACUGAACAUUGAGCCUUGAUGUGUAGGAUAGGUGGGAGGCUUUGAAGCGUGGACGCCAGUCUGCGUGGAGCCAACCUUGAAAUACCACCCUUUAAUGUUUGAUGUUCUAACGUUGGCCCCUGACCGGGGUUGCGGACAGUGUCUGGUGGGUAGUUUGACUGGGGCGGUCUCCUCCCAAAGCGUAACGGAGGAGCACGAAGGUUAGCUAAUCCUGGUCGGACAUCAGGAGGUUAGUGCAAUGGCAUAAGCUAGCUUGACUGCGAGCGUGACGGCGCGAGCAGGUGCGAAAGCAGGUCAUAGUGAUCCGGUGGUUCUGAAUGGAAGGGCCAUCGCUCAACGGAUAAAAGGUACUCCGGGGAUAACAGGCUGAUACCGCCCAAGAGUUCAUAUCGACGGCGGUGUUUGGCACCUCGAUGUCGGCUCAUCACAUCCUGGGGCUGAAGUAGGUCCCAAGGGUAUGGCUGUUCGCCAUUUAAAGUGGUACGCGAGCUGGGUUUAGAACGUCGUGAGACAGUUCGGUCCCUAUCUGCCGUGGGCGCUGGAGAAUUGAGGGGGGCUGCUCCUAGUACGAGAGGACCGGAGUGGACGCAUCACUGGUGUUCGGGUUGUCAUGCCAAUGGCACUGCCCGGUAGCUAAAUGCGGAAGAGAUAAGUGCUGAAAGCAUCUAAGCACGAAACUUGCCCCGAGAUGAGUUCUCCCUGAGACUUUAAGUCUCCUGAAGGAACGUUGAAGACGACGACGUUGAUAGGCCGGGUGUGUAAGCGCAGCGAUGCGUUGAGCUAACCGGUACUAAUGAACCGUGAGGCUUAACCUU